Molecule: ribosomal RNA, 448 nt
Filed under: uncultured bacterium
Lineage: Bacteria
Description: bacterial SSU rRNA
Rfam family: Bacterial small subunit ribosomal RNA
Source: RNAcentral
GAGCGGAUGACGGGAGCUUGCUCCUUGAUUCAGCGGCGGACGGGUGAGUAAUGCCUAGGAAUCUGCCUGGUAGUGGGGGACAACGUUUCGAAAGGAACGCUAAUACCGCAUACGUCCUACGGGAGAAAGCAGGGGACCUUCGGGCCUUGCGCUAUCAGAUGAGCCUAGGUCGGAUUAGCUAGUUGGUGGGGUAAUGGCUCACCAAGGCGACGAUCCGUAACUGGUCUGAGAGGAUGAUCAGUCACACUGGAACUGAGACACGGUCCAGACUCCUACGGGAGGCAGCAGUGGGGAAUAUUGGACAAUGGGCGAAAGCCUGAUCCAGCCAUGCCGCGUGUGUGAAGAAGGUCUUCGGAUUGUAAAGCACUUUAAGUUGGGAGGAAGGGCAGUAAGUUAAUACCUUACUGUUUUGACGUUACCGACAGAAUAAGCACCGGCUAACUCUGUG